Long non-coding RNA from Zonotrichia leucophrys gambelii, 1686 nucleotides. RefSeq lists it as uncharacterized. The record is from RefSeq and is a predicted model, not a curated record. Lineage: Eukaryota; Metazoa; Chordata; Aves; Passeriformes; Passerellidae. The transcript has 3 exons.
GCUGCCUUGCGCACAAAAUGGGGCAAAACCCUAAAAAAUCAGAAUGGUUGGAAGGUCUGCCUAGGAUAGUCAUCAGUGUUUGUCUCUGCCUCAUCAAACUUAAUCUAACCCAAGAGCGCAUUUAACCAGACUGAGUACUGGAUUUCAAUACCGUCAACUCCAGAAAGCAAAAGCUUCUCCAGGUCACCCAGCUGGCCUCCCCGGGGAAGGAGGAGGCAGAGGAGCGAUUCCUGCUGGGGGAAGCAGCACGCACACACCUGGCAGCCCUGGAGCACAUUCCCUGUGCAGGAGCCAGGUGUGUGAGCUCCCCCUGCCUGGCCCUGCCCCGAGGGCCCCUCUCCCCAGCCCCUGCAGCCCCUGCAGCCCCUGCAGCCCCUGCAGCCCUUGAUCUCUGCUGCUGGGGAGUGGGGAUGCCACUCAGCAGGAGCCACGGUCGCAUUUUGCAGCCAGGACUCCAGUUUGGGAUCAGGGGGAGUCGAGUGCGGUUUCACCCAGCAGCCUUUAGUAAUGUCUCAGCUCUGUUAAGCUGCCCACAAUUUCAUCCAGACAUCUCUUUCAGAACAGCCCUGCAUCUUCAUUACCUUCCCCUCAAGCCAUCUGGUCUCCCAACCUGACCUUUUUAAGAAAGAUUGGUUAAAAAAACUGGAGCAGUCCCUGAACAGAAGACCUUGCGUGUCAUGUUUAAGCCCAGAGCAAAUUUUUACGUCCAAGCUGUGAAACCUUGAAAACAAAGAUUUAUAAUUGAGAUUCUGGCUGAAGCAGAGUGAACAGAGACGGUCUAAUUAAAUUCUGUGGUGGGUAUAAUUAACCGAUUUAUUCAUUUAUUACCCUUUAUGCAGCUAAUGCAGGCCCAAGCAUUGCCAUUUGUUUAUGGGGAAUGUGUUACCUGCCUGCUUGGCUCGGGCUGUGGCAGCCAGACCCAUGGUGAUGAUCUGGAGGGACUGAUGGAUUAAUUUUCAGAAGCCAACACAGCUCCUGAAUGAGUCAGCUGGGGAGGAGCAGAGAGGAAAGCAAAGACUCAGGGUUCUCCUUUGGGUUCCUUUGCAGAGUUGCCAAGGGACUUUGAUCAAAUGGGAUGGUUUGGGAGAAAAAGGAGGUUUGGGGUUUUGUCUAAGAGCAGAGUGGCUCUCUGGUGCCAAACACAGCUGGAACUGUGGCACUGAGUCCCCUGCUGUGCACUAGGAAGGGCUACAGGAACAUCCACACUGACUCUGUGGAUUUCUGCCUUCCCUCCUUCAGAGCUCAGCGUGGAAAUGGCACUUCCAAACCCGUAACACAGAUAACUACUCACACAUCCUUUGGGAGAGCCUCAUCUGACUAAAAGCCUGUCUGGCUUUUCCAGAAAGAAGCUGUUUCUUUUCACCCAAGACUCAUUUCACUUCGCUUUCUUGCAGCCAUCAUGAGAUUAAAAAAAAACCAACAAAACAACAAUGAAUCAACCAGAGAUUAUUUUUCAUGAAAGUUUAAUCAGGCACUGUCCCCUUCCUAUGCCUGUGUGAGCAAACCUCGAUGAGCAUGUAGAGCCUGAACAUGGAGCUAAAAACCACCUGCUUGAGAGGCAAGGAGUGCAGGGAAUGGCUUUGCUGGCUGGCACCUCUCUACCUGGGCAGGCUGUCCUGCUGCAGAUGUGCUGCCUGCAGCUCAGCCCCCGGCUCCCUCAGCCCAUCCAUCUCCGAGGCAGUGAAA